GCUGGUUGCCUGUGAAACGAAUCUAAGUUCUCCUUUAAUCUCACCCCCUCAAGACUUAAACACUUGCUCGUACCAGAUUAAAAGCAAUUUAAAGGAGGAACAGCUCCUUUAAAAAAGGAUACAACCUCUUCCAGAGGAUAAGCACUUACUUCACAAACUUGUAGGCCUUUAAGCAGCCACCACCAGAGAAUGCGUCAAAGCUCAACCCUCCCAAAAAUCCAAAAACAAAUGCGACUCCCUCACCCAUAACAGGCUAACCUAUCAAAAAUAGGAGUAUCAAUGCUAAAAUAAGUAACUAAGGACAUUCCUUCUAAAGCACAAACUUACAUCUCACAUUAUUAACAGACCCACCAAUACCCACACCGCUACAGGACCCAGUAUUCAACAGCCCUGUUAGACCAACCCAGGAGUGCUUAACUAGAAAGAUUUAAACCUGUAAAAGGAACUAGGCAAAUUCCAAGGCCCGACUGUUUACCAAAAACAUAGCCUUCAGCCCACCAAGUAUUGAAGGUGAUGCCUGCCCAGUGACAUUAAGUUUAACGGCCGCGGUAUCCUAACCGUGCAAAGGUAGCGCAAUCAAUUGUCCCAUAAAUCGAGACUUGUAUGAACGGCCAAACGAGGUCUUGACUGUCUCUUGCAGGUAAUCAGUGAAAUUGAUCUCCCCAUGCAAAAGUGGGGAUAAACCCAUAAGACGAGAAGACCCUGUGGAACUUAAAAACCAGCAGCCACUCUAAACCAAACCAAAACCCACCAGGCCCACUGCCCUAGACAAUUGGCUCGCAUUUUUUCGGUUGGGGCGACCUUGGAGAAAAGUACAUCCUCCAAAAACAAGACCAUCCCUCUUAACCAAGACCAACCACUCGACGUACUAAUAGUACCCAGACCCAGCAUCAAGCUGACCAAUGAACCAAGCUACCCCAGGGAUAACAGCGCAAUCCCCUUCAAGAGCCCAUAUCGACA
Molecule: ribosomal RNA, 960 nt
Filed under: Tribonyx mortierii
Lineage: Eukaryota; Metazoa; Chordata; Aves; Gruiformes; Rallidae
Description: Gallinula mortierii partial 16S ribosomal RNA
Rfam family: Bacterial large subunit ribosomal RNA
Source: RNAcentral